UACGUAGGGGGCGAGCGUUGUCCGGAUUUAUUGGGCGUAAAGAGCUCGUAGGCGGCUUGUCGCGUCGAAUGUGAAAUCUCAGAGCUCAACUCUGACAUUGCAUUCGAUACGGGCAGGCUAGAGUUCGGUAGGGGAGACUGGAAUUCCUGGUGUAGCGGUGAAAUGCGCAGAUAUCAGGAGGAACACCGAUGGCGAAGGCAGGUCUCUGGGCCGAUACUGACGCUGAGGAGCGAAAGCGUGGGGAGCGAACAGG
Molecule: ribosomal RNA, 253 nt
Filed under: uncultured bacterium
Lineage: Bacteria
Description: partial 16S ribosomal RNA
Rfam family: Bacterial small subunit ribosomal RNA
Source: RNAcentral